GUUCCAGACUCCUACGGGAGGCAGCAGUGGGGAAUAUUGCACAAUGGGGGGAACCCUGAUGCAGCGACGCCGCGUGGGUGAAGGAGCACCUCGGUGCGUAAAGCCCUAUCGGCAGGGAAGAAACAGACGGUACCUGACUAAGAAGCCCCGGCUAACUACGUGCCAGCAGCCGCGGUAAUACGUAGGGGGCAAACGUUAUCCGGAUUUACUGGGUGUAAAGGGAGCGUAGACGGCCAGACAAGUCAGAAGUGAAAGCCCAGGGCUCAACCCUGGGACUGCUUUUGAAACUGCCGGGCUGGAGUGCAGGAGAGGUAAGCGGAAUUCCUAGUGUAGCGGUGAAAUGCGUAGAUAUUAGGAGGAACACCAGUGGCGAAGGCGGCUUACUGGACUGUAACUGACGUUGAGGCCCGAAAGCGUGGGGAGCAAACAGGAUUAGAUACCCUUGUA
This 447-nucleotide ribosomal RNA is filed under the name uncultured bacterium. RNAcentral describes it as "partial 16S ribosomal RNA". It matches the Rfam family "Bacterial small subunit ribosomal RNA", at positions 328 to 792 of the family's 1533-position model. The record is from RNAcentral.